RNAcentral lists this ribosomal RNA (497 nucleotides) under uncultured bacterium. RNAcentral describes it as "partial 16S ribosomal RNA". It matches the Rfam family "Bacterial small subunit ribosomal RNA", at positions 28 to 507 of the family's 1533-position model. The record is from RNAcentral.
GAUGAACGCUGGCGGCGUGCCUAAUACAUGCAAGUCGAGCGAACAGACGAGGAGCUUGCUCCUCUGACGUUAGCGGCAGACGGGUGAGUAACACGUGGAUAACCUACCUAUAAGACUGGGAUAACUUCGGGAAACCGGAGCUAAUACCGGAUAAUAUAUUGAACCGCAUGGUUCAAUAGUGAAAGACGGUUUUGCUGUCACUUAUAGACGGAUCCGCGCCGCAUUAGCUAGUUGGUAAGGUAACGGCUUACCAAGGCGACGAUGCGUAGCCGACCUGAGAGGGUGAUCGGCCACCUGAGAGGGGAGACGGGGUCAAGGCGCCUACGAGAGGGAGCAGUCGGGAAUCUGCCGCAGUGGGCGAGAGCAUGACGGAGCAGCGCCGCGUGAGUGGUGACGAUCUUCGGUGCGUAAAACUCUGUUAUUGGGGAAAAACAAAUGUGUAAGUAAAUGUGGCCGUCUUGACGGUACCUGAAGAGGAAGCACCGGCUAACUACGUG